Long non-coding RNA from Polyodon spathula (Mississippi paddlefish), 3417 nucleotides. RefSeq lists it as uncharacterized. The transcript has 5 exons. The record is from RefSeq and is a predicted model, not a curated record. NCBI's taxonomy places the organism in Eukaryota, Metazoa, Chordata, Actinopteri, Acipenseriformes, Polyodontidae.
AAGGAAUGUUUGCAUGAUAACUGGAGGGUCUGGCUAAGUGUAUAGUUUACGUUGUGAUAAUGUAAUAUAAAUUAGAAAACAUGGUCUAGAGAUGAAAAAACAAAAAUGCAGGUCAGUGUGUGUUCGGUAUGAACUGCAGAUUCUCUCACCUGACAGAGGAAGACAUGGAAAGAUUAAAAGAACUAAUUGAAGAGGAAUGAAGAGCCAAAGAGGAACCCAGUGAGGCCAGGGAAUCCACUGAAAGGAGCAUUGAGGACUGGCUGGCCAGGAGAGAGAAGAGGAGCAAGGCCACAGACAGCAGCAGCAUUCUUCAAGUGGAAGGAGCGGAGAGUACAUUUGGAGCCGAGCUUCCAGCACAUCUCAUGGCAUUCCCAGAUCUCCUGGCCUCCUUGCUCCCUCCCCCUCCUGGGGGGUGGAAGAACAUACCCGUCACAGAGUGGGGAUGAACAAACUGCACAGCCCUGAGAUGCUGAGCUGUGAUGAAUGCUCAGCCUGGGUUUCCAUUCUUUCAACUCUCGUACCGUUGGUGUCCACAGGGCAGGAACUAAACAAAUGCAUGGAAGAGUUAGUGCCCACUGCCUUUCUUGCACUGUGCUGGCACAUUGAUUACUACAAAACACUUCAAAUUACAUACAAACUCCUCCAGAAGGCAGCAGCAAAACAAUUAAUGGAAAUGAAUCUGGCCUUUUCCAAAUGUCCAUGCAGUCCGUUUUCUGAGGUGCUGAUUCAGGGGAGUUGUGUAGAGCGCACAGGUUCAUCAAGUGUCGAUUUACAGCGUAUUCAUUUUUUAUAUUUUGUAUCUUUUUUUCUUUCUUUGAUGGCAUCGCUAAGGUCAUGUGUGCUUGCUCCUAAACUGCUAGUGUGUAGGGAUGAAGAAGCAGCUAAUGUUUUAAAUCAAAAAUAACAUCAAAGCACAAAACCCAUUCUUUGUUUUGUUUUUUUCCCCCUUUCACUCUUGUGUUGUGACGCAGUUGACAGUAGAAAAGAAGAAAGCGCUCCCUGAUGCGCCGCAGUGUUGAUGAAACGGUCCGCACAGCCUUCCCGUCUGCAGGGACCGUUCUGUUUGAGUUGACUGAGUUUCACUGAAACAGAUCCCACCAGCGGUGGAAUAUACUGAGUGGGAUCUCGGACUGGGAUAGAAAAGGAUUGCAGCUGUGUACCUGUCAGACGUGAAAGCAAGUCUCCCAAUUUCCACAGCGUCUCAGUGAAUCUGAAUCGCCCUGCAUCUCCCCUGAAGCACUUCUGUUUCAUUACUGUAGUCACAGGCCCUACCUAGAUUGCCAAUUAUGCUGGGAAUCACGUACCAUUUCCUAAUUCAAUCAAAUCUAUUUACAAAGAUUUUUUUUUCAGACUGUUAGAAAUGAACCCUUUCAAGACUUUAACCCUUUCAUGCAUUGUGACCUCAUAUGGGGACAGAUUAAAAAAAAAAAAAAAAAAAAACUUCUAGUCUUUAUAUGAGGACAGGGAAGAUGCAUAUGACCUCAUAGCAUGCAAUGUGUGCCCAAUGUAAAGCAAUGAAAAAAAAAACUGAUUUAAAAAAUUUAUAUAUUUAUUAUGUGUCCAAAGAAUGACUAAACCUGAUGUUUCAGCCUCAGGUGAUAUUUAUUAGUUUAAAAGUACAGUCUCAAAUAUAAUAUAUAUGUAUCCUCAGGUGUCCAGCCUGCCUGGCAGUCGUGAUUUAGGAUUGCUGUCUAGACUGCAUGAAUGUUGGCUAGGGAUUUAAGUGACCAUGUCUUCAGCAUGAUGCAGCCAAGAGUAUCCAAGACAGCCUUGCCUCAAUGCCUGUCUAUCAAAGCAAGCAUGCCUUGCUCUAUAUUCACAGUGAUGGGGUUUACAUGCUGCCUUAGCUGAAACACUAGUAGCUUCAUGUAAUGUACUGCAUAGAAAGGAUUCAAACACUAGCAGCUUCAUGUAAUGUACUGCAUAGAAAGGAUUCAAACACUAGCAGCUUCAUGUAAUGUACUGCAUAGAAAGGAUUCAAACACUAGCAGCUUCAUGUAAUGUACUGCAUAGAAAGGAUUCAAACACUAGCAGCUUCAUGUAAUGUACUGCAUAGAAAGGAUUCAAACACUAGCAGCUUCAUGUUAUGUACUGUAUAGAAAGCAUUCAAACAUUAGCAGCUUCAUGUAAUGUACUGCUCAGAAAGGAUUCAAACGCUAGCAGUGUGAUGUAAUGUAUUGCAUAGAAAGGAUUCAAACUCUAGCAGCUUGAUGUAAUGUAUUGCAUAGAAAGGAUUCCGAGUUUUGGCAGCACUGUUUUAUAGCAUAUUUUUCAGCUGCAACAUUAUAGCAUCUAAUCAUACCAAAGUAUCCUAAAAGCAUUCAAUUGAUAGAUAGAAAACACCCAAAGCUAUCCAAAAGAAGAAAGGGAGACUAGGUCUUUGUUUUGGGCAUAUCCUGAAGUGAAUUCUAUAAAGGACUAAAGGAGCAGUUUAGCAAAGAGAUAAACAGGGUGUGUGUUACAGCUUGGGCUCCAGGAGUAUCCACGCUCCAAUAACCUGUCUGAUUCGUGCUCCUCACUGCCAAAGCCUGGUCUGUGAUCUCUGGUAAUGACCUCUGUGUUGGGCAUUAUCACUGGAUUCUAGAUCAAAGCAUCUAACAGGAACAGUGAGUCAGUGGUGCUGCUACUUUCCAUCUGCAAUUAGUUUUGAGUUGAAAGUUCCUCCAGUUGCUGAGUUGCACACCCUUGUCUUUGAAGGUGCUAAUUGAAAAUCUUGGUCUGAAUAUCUCAUUAAAGUUGCACUUCUUUUGGAUGAUAAAAUAUUACUGUCCUACGGUCCGCCAAGCUCUGUAAGACUGCUGUUUGAGAGGAUCAUUCCCACAAUGAGAAUGAAUAUCCCUGUACAGAUGCAUCGAUGCUCACAAUAGAUUAAGAACUGUCUUUCUUGAAACUUGUCUUACUUUUAAGGCUGACUGUAGUCCUUAAUCAAACAUAGUGCUGUAUUAUCUGUUAAUUACUGUUUUCUAUCAUUUGUUACAAAUUUCCCACACACACAUACACACAUGAAAAUAAAUAUGCUCAAACAAUGCACACAGACACACACUCUUGUGUUGGGCUUUAAUAAGUUGUGCAUCCCUCCUAGUCACACAGUGACAUGCUCAAACCAUUACCAUACUGCCUCCUGUUCAUUUCCAUAGUCACUGAGUUAUUACACAGGUAGCAUUUGCCCAAUAGCUUCCAUUUUCAUCCAUAUACUGUUGGAAGACAGAGUGGCUAAAUUACUCUCUGCUAUGCUAUAGCAAAGGGUGAGGGGAAUACACUAGUGCCAUCUAUAAAUACCAUCCAGAGUGGCUGCUCGCAUUGCCUCUAAUGUGCUAUAGAAAUGACCAUGGGAUUAUACCAAUUUGUAGCGACAUAGAAAACUUUUCCCAAUGUGUUUUUCUUCUUUGACACACAUUAAAACAGACUUCAAGAGUC